CCAUAGCUCAUUGGUAGAGCAAUCGACUUGUAAUCGAUCUGUUGCGGGUUCGAUUCCCGCUGGACCA
This 67-nucleotide transfer RNA is filed under the name Betaproteobacteria bacterium. RNAcentral's name for it is "tRNA-Thr". It matches the Rfam family "tRNA", at positions 5 to 66 of the family's 71-position model. From Rfam's summary of the family: Transfer RNA (tRNA) molecules are approximately 80 nucleotides in length. Lineage: Bacteria; Pseudomonadati; Pseudomonadota; Betaproteobacteria. The record is from RNAcentral.